Paramormyrops kingsleyae is the source of this 439-nucleotide non-coding RNA. The record is from RefSeq and is a predicted model, not a curated record. Lineage: Eukaryota; Metazoa; Chordata; Actinopteri; Osteoglossiformes; Mormyridae.
AAACAACCGAAGUAGAAGCUUUGGUAACGUCACCAACGUACUAUCCGUUGCUCACUGGUUGGCGGAAUAUUUAAAUUGAGAAAUAGGAUAAAGUUGCCGAGUUAUUGUAAGCGGACGAAAGAUGAAUCGGGCAUCCAGUAGCCGGCAGUCGGGGUUGCCUCUCAGGGUGGCUGACGGCAGGAUGAGCAUGAUCAACGCCACGCCGCAAAGCCCGCUGAUGUUUUUGACGCAGCAAAGACUCUGCUUUCGGAAAGCUGAACAUCCCGAAACCACAGUCUGGGACGUCUGACAGGAGAACCAGUUUUUUCGGGAAAAGAGCUAGUGGGGCAGGCAUGUCCCGUAACAGCACUUUUGGAGCUUUUGGGGGUGUGGAAAAGAUGAAGGAUCCUCGACCUCUCCAUGACAAGUCUUUCAUCCAGCAGUGUAUCAAAGAUCUCUG